AUUGCUUAUUGGCCUUUCGGCUAACAUCAAAUGUGGUAUCUGUUCUUAUCAAUUUAAUAUCUGACACAUACUCUAACCAAGGACAUUAUGCUAAAUGGAUUUUUGGAGAUGGGAGAUGGAAUAGGAGCUUGCUCUGUCACUCUGCAUAUUGACUUGGUAUUGCAAUACUUCUGGGAAUGGUGCACCAAGA
Molecule: small nuclear RNA, 190 nt
Organism: Phyllostomus discolor (pale spear-nosed bat)
Lineage: Eukaryota; Metazoa; Chordata; Mammalia; Chiroptera; Phyllostomidae
Product: U2 spliceosomal RNA
Exons: 1
Source: RefSeq, a predicted model, not a curated record